RNAcentral lists this unclassified non-coding RNA (433 nucleotides) under soil metagenome. RNAcentral describes it as "partial contains 5.8S ribosomal RNA, internal transcribed spacer 2, and large subunit ribosomal RNA". The stretch from base 1 to 120 matches the Rfam family "5.8S ribosomal RNA", at positions 35 to 154 of the family's 154-position model. The record is from RNAcentral.
GAUGAAGAACGCAGCGAAAUGCGAUAAGUAGUGUGAAUUGCAGAAUUCAGUGAAUCAUCGAAUCUUUGAACGCAUAUUGCGCUCUUUGGUAUUCCGGAGAGCAUGCUUGUUUGAGUAUCAGUAAACACCUCAACUUCCAUAUCUUUUUUGACAUGGGAGUUGGACUUGAGUGAUCCCAACGCUUUUCCUCACCGAAAAGUGGCGGGUUACUUGAAAUGCAGGUGCAGCUGGACUUUUCUCUGAGCUAUAAGCAUAUCUAUUUAGUCUGCCUAAAAAACAGAUUAUUACCUUUGCUGCAGCUAACAUAAAGGAGAUUAGUUCUUGUGCUGACUGAUGCAGGAUUCACAAAGACAGGCUUCGGCCGACUUUGUAAACUCGAUCUCAAAUCAAGUAAGACUACCCGCUGAACUUAAGCAUAUCAAUAAGCGGAGGA